CCUACGGGUGGCAGCAGUGAGGAAUAUUGGGCAAUGGGCGGAAGCCUGAACCAGCCAAGUAGCGUGCGGGAUGAAGGCCCUACGGGUCGUAAACCGCUUUUGCACGGGGAUAACACCCUCCUCUUGUGGAGGUCUGCAGGUACCGUGCGAAUAAGCGCCGGCUAAUUCCGUGCCAGCAGCCGCGGUAAUGCGGAAGGCCCGAGCGUUAUCCGGAUUCAUUGGGCUAAAAGGGAGCGUAGGCGGGCGUGCAAGUCAGCGGUAAAAUCGCGCGGCUCAACCGCGCCCCGCAGUUGAAACUGGAAGCCUUGAGUUCACAACAGGCAGGCGGAAUUCGUGGUGUAGCGGUGAAAUGCAUAGAUAUCACGAGGAACCCCGAUUGCGAAGGCAGCCUGCCGGGGUGCGACUGACGCUGAGGCUCGAAGGUGCGGGUAUCAAACAGGAUUAGAUACCCCUGUAGUC
RNAcentral lists this ribosomal RNA (459 nucleotides) under uncultured bacterium. RNAcentral's name for it is "partial 16S ribosomal RNA". It matches the Rfam family "Bacterial small subunit ribosomal RNA", at positions 338 to 795 of the family's 1533-position model. The record is from RNAcentral.